This 360-nucleotide ribosomal RNA is filed under the name Magelonidae sp. USNM IZ 1450556. Its description in RNAcentral is "SSU rRNA". Lineage: Eukaryota; Metazoa; Annelida; Polychaeta; Spionida; Magelonidae. The record is from RNAcentral.
AUGCAUGUCUAAGUACGGCUCUUGUACAGUGAAACUGCGAAUGGCUCAUUAAAUCAGUUAUGGUUCCUUAGAUCGUAAACUCUUUACUUGGAUAACUGCAGUAAUUCUGGAGCUAAUACAUGCUAAAAACCCCGUMCUUYGGACAGGGUGCUUUUAUUAGAACAAAACCAAACCCGCUCGCGGGUUCUCGGAUGACUCUGGAUAACUUUGUUGAUCGCACGGCCUUGAGCCAGCGACGUAUCUUUCAAAUGUCUGCCCUAUCAACUGUCGAUGGUACGUGCUAUGCCUACCAUGGUUAUAACGGGUAACGGAGAAUCAGGGUUCGAUUCCGGAGAGGGAGCAUGAGAAACGGCUACCACA